This 76-nucleotide transfer RNA is filed under the name Sutcliffiella horikoshii. Its description in RNAcentral is "tRNA-His". It matches the Rfam family "tRNA". Rfam says of the family: Transfer RNA (tRNA) molecules are approximately 80 nucleotides in length. Their secondary structure includes four short double-helical elements and three loops (D, anti-codon, and T loops). Lineage: Bacteria; Bacillati; Bacillota; Bacilli; Caryophanales; Bacillaceae. The record is from RNAcentral.
GCGGCUGUGGCGAAGUGGUUAACGCACCUGAUUGUGGUUCAGGCAUUCGUGGGUUCGAUUCCCAUCAGUCGCCCCA